CUUGAAGAUUUUCUUUUAUUAGAGACACAGACUGCUGGAGUAGGAUCUCAUGUUCAUUAGAUUAUUGUGAUGGCUAUAUUCUAACUUGGGACAAAUGGAACAGAUUUCAUGCCGGUCUUGUGGAGGAUAAGUCACUCGGCUGGUGCAGUGCUGCUUCCUGAGAAUGCUACAGAGAAGAAUCUAGAUCUAGCCUGCACACCGUUUCUCCCCUUCAACAGGCACAAGACUCGUAAAUGUGAGGGAAAGAAAAAUCAGGGGUUACAAAGAGCUUUUAUGGCAAUUUCUUCUCUAUCAGGUGGCAACGUGAAAAGCUUUGACAUUAUUAAACCUCCUAAAGCUUAUUCCCAAGUUUAGGACUUAUCUGGUAAGCUGACUAAAGAAUAGUUUCCCUUUUGAUUAGACUCCGUUAUAUAGAAACUUCUCAUCUGAGUUUUAA
Molecule: long non-coding RNA, 436 nt
Filed under: Vulpes vulpes (red fox)
Lineage: Eukaryota; Metazoa; Chordata; Mammalia; Carnivora; Canidae
Description: lncRNA (ENSVVUG00000020092.1)
Source: RNAcentral